GAAAGACUAUGACUUAACAAUUAACUGAUAGCCUUUUCCUCCCCAACAG
This 49-nucleotide microRNA precursor is filed under the name Mus spicilegus (steppe mouse). Its description in RNAcentral is "miRNA (ENSMSIG00000006240.1)". Lineage: Eukaryota; Metazoa; Chordata; Mammalia; Rodentia; Muridae. The record is from RNAcentral.